UGGGACUGCACCCCAGAAGGCCUUGAGAGCAAUGGGUAGCAAUGAAGGAUUUGGAGCAAGGACCCCACAGGACUGAGGGAACCCAUCAGAAAUAAUGGUUAGAAGACAAUCACGUAGAAAGAGAACGAUGGUAGCAAGAUAGUAUAAUUUGAAUCCGGAUCACAUACCUACAUUAGAAAGUCCUCCUCUCUGAGUAAUUUUCUCUAUGGCUGUCUUCAGAUCUCGAGAAUUCGUGUGUGUCUUGAGGUUAAAGUGAGUAGCAGGGUUGUCUCUGAAGAGUCAGAACAAGAAAUACAAAUUAGCUGCAAAGUUAAUACCUUUGGAGGAAGGCAGAGAUCAUGGUUGAUUCUUUUAUAUACAAAUAGAAGCUGCUUCAAAGCCUUCUGCUAUGCCUUGUAAAAUGUCCCAUUGUGGACUGGUGUGUGUAGAGAAAAGGAGGCUAUUUCAAGGCUCAGAAGGCGUGUGUUGACUGUGCCAUUUCCUGGCUGUGUGAUCUUGAGGAGACAACUUCUCUGGGCUUCAGAUUCCUCAUGUAGAUGAAAACAUCGUUAUAACACCCAUAUUGCUAAUGAACGGGACUGUUGUCAAGUGGGAUUUUGCAAAUGUCAGGAUCCCAUCUGUGGAGUGCUCAGCGUUCUCAGCCUACCCCAGACCCCCCUCUCCAGAAAGAGAAUCUCAGCUGUCAGCCACUCUCUGGGUUACCCUUAGCACUGGAAUUGCACGUGAAUAGUGGUACCAAGGAGACCUCUCUCUGCUUCUCAUCCUGCAACCGGGUGACACUACUCAAACUCAUCUAGAAGGUCAACAUCUAUUUUGCUGAAGACUGAAAAAGAUUAACUGGGGAGGAGUUGGAGUGAAUUCAGUGGAAAAACACAGUAAGAAUCCCUCUCUACAAGUGAAUCCCCACGAAGCGGCGGAGUGGAGGGUGUGGAGGCGUGCAGGAGGGCGGGUGUGUGUGCAUCGCACCCAAGAUGAGGUGUGAGAUCACAUCUCACAAACCACUGACACUCAGCCACAGGCAGCGCUGACUUCGUGGGCGUGAGACCUGCGCAGUCACACAGGGCUCCAUGCUCCAGAAGAGCCUCAGUCAGAAAGGCCCAGGCUUGGCAUAGUGCUCUGCUGCUGCCGUCUUGAAAUUCUUCAUCAUUUUUGAACAAGCUGCCCUGCACAUUAUGUAGUCAGUCCAGGCUAGAGGUUACUGUUUUCUUUUUUCUUUCUUUCUUUUUUAACACGGAGUCUCACUCUGUCACCCAGGCUGGAGUGCAGUGGCGCGAUCUCAGCUCACUGUAACCUCUGCCGCCCGGGUUCAAGCAAUUCUCUUGCCUCAACCUCCCGAGUAGCUGGGAUUACAGGCACCUGCCACCGCGCCUGGCUAAUUUUUGUAUUUUUAGUAGAGACAGGGUUUCACCAUCUUAGCCAGGCUGGUCUUGAACUCCUGACUUCGUGAUCCACCUGCCUUGGCCUCCCAGAGUGCUAGGAUUACAGGCGUGAGCCACCGUGCCCGGCCAUUUUUUUUUUUUUUUUUGAGACGGAGUCUCGCUGUGUCUCCAGGCUGUAGUACACUGGCUCGAUCUUGGCUCACUGCAGUCUCCACCUCCCGGGUUCAAGUGAUUCUCCUGCCUCAGUCUCCCAAGUAGCUGGGACUACCGGUGCGUGUCACCACACCCAGCUAAUUUUUGUAUUUUUAGUAGAGAUGGGGUUUUGCCAUGUUGGCCAGGCUGGUCUCCAACUCCUCACCUCAGGUGAUCUGCCUGCCUUGGCCUUCCAAAGUGCCGGAAUUACAGGCAUGAGCCACCAAGCCUAGCCAUAGAGGCUACUAAGUUUUCAAGAAGGAGAAGACUUUUUUUUUUUUUCAGAGACAGGGUUUCGUUCUGUUGCUCAACCUGGAGUGCAGUGGCCCCAUCUUGGCUCACUGCAGCCUCAACUUCCUGGGCUCAAGCAUCCUCCCACCUCAGCCUCCCAAGUAGGUGAGACCACAGGUGCAUGCCACCACACCCAGCAAAUUUUUUCAUUUUUUGUAAAGACAAGGUCUUGCUAUGUUGCCCCUGGCUGGUCUUAAAAGCGUGGACUCAAGCAGCUUAUUGUCCUGUUUUGGCCUCCCAAAGUGCCAAGAUUACAGAUGUGAGCCACCAUGCCUGGCCAAGAAAACUUUUUAAAGUAGCCUUUCUACAAACACCAGAAAUGGAUCCAGGAAGAAGCGGUUGUGGGCAGUUUCAGGUGGGAACCUCAAGGAUGCUGACCAUGGGUUGAUUCUUAGUGAGUCCAUGCGGACCGGGACAAGUGGUGCAGUCACGAGGAAACCAGUCACCAGGACCUGGGAGAGAGGAGAAAGUGUCUGCCUCCCCGCUUCCUUUCCUCCAUCCCUGUUUUCCAAACUGCUCUCUAUCUCAAAAUGAUCUAUGCUAUCCCCAGAGGGUGGCUUAUUUACAAGGCAAGGGAUGAAAAACAGAAAGAGUGGACACCUUCAGGGAAGACAGGAAAUUUAAAACAAGCUUAACCAAAGUGGGGCACUGGAGAAAAACCCAAAUAGAUGAAAUUUCACCAGAAGAAAACCAGGUUCUAUGGUUGGGACUAAACAGAAACAAACAACAACACAGCAAUCAGCAGAAUGGGGGAAAUGGGGGUGUUGAGCUGGGCGUGACCUUCCUAUCAACCUACAGUGUGAAGUGUCUUGAUCUGAGGCUAAAGUCACAAAUUCAGGGAGGAGGAGUCACACAGUGGAGGAGCACUGUGGCUUUCACUCUGUAUUCUUCCCCUCGGGUUCUAGGGCUUAUGGGUUCAUUUUUUAAAAAUUUUAUCUAUUUAUUUUUUUCGAGAUGGAGUCUUGCUCUGUUGCCCAGGCUGGAGUGCAGUGGCUCGAUUUUGGUUCACUGCAACCUCUGCCUCCAGGGUUUAGGCAAUUCUCCUGCCUCAGCCUCUGGAGUAGCUGGGAUUACAGGCACCUUUCACCAUGCCUGGCUUAUUUGUUUUUGUAUUUUUAAUAGAGACGGGGUUUCACUAUGUUGGCCAGGCUGGUCUCGAACUCCUGACCUCGUGAUCCAUCUGCCUUGGCCUCCCAAAGUGCUGGGAUUACAGGCAUGAGCCACUGUACGUGGCUGGGUUUAUAUUUUUACAAAGCAAUUUCAGUAAAUGCUAUGUACACUUUUACUUAUACAGCCCAUCAGCCCCCAUCCCUCAGGUCCUGGCCAUUCCUCUACAUACAUUCAUUCGCUUUUAUUCCCUACCCUGUAUGUCUACUGUAACACCGGGAGUCCUGGCCCCCAUGCUUCUGGCUGCCCCUAAGAAUCCCUGUGUUGGUCUCUGUAGUGUUAGUUGUGUGGCCAUCUGCUAGAGGAACCUUCAGUCCUCAGUUCUGCCCGCAAAAUUCCCCUGCUUGGAAAUCAUCAGAAAUUCCCAUUGCUAAACUUGAUGUUUUGGCUUUCAAAGCAUCCAUAAUUUAAUUUCCAACUAUCAUGUUAAGGCUGUUCUCUUUCUUAUUCUCUCUUUCACUCUCUUUUUUAGGAUAUUCCAUGUUCUAGUCAAAAUGAACUGUUCACCCUUUCCCACUUUUCUAGCUUUGUGCAUUUGCUCACUUCUUCCCUCAUCUGGAAAGCCCCAAUCGUGCCCACCCUCCAAGCUCAGCGACCCAUCUCCCUUACUCCCAGCCCCAGCUGACAAUCUCUCUGCCUGACUCAGCUUUCUCUAACCAACACCGUGCAUAAUAUGUGGCGCCUACAGGCACUCAAUUAACAGCAUUAACAUUUCUUUGUUCUAUUUCUGUGCAUCUCUAAACCUCUAAACUUUGGUGUUCCAUAGGGUGCUAGCCCCAUCAUGCAUCUCUUCUUGGCUAUGCACAUCCCUGGGAGAUUUCAUCAACUCCCAGGACUCACAGACCAUUCAUGUGCCAAAAGCUGUCUGUGCACUGGUUGGUCCCCUUUCUUGAACCUCACAUAUACAUAAAAUGGCUUCCAUACAGCUUCCUCUGGAAGGCACCUCAGGUUAGAUAUUUCCAAACCUGAAGUUGUUUAUCUUCCAAGCCUGAUCCACCCAACCACCCAUCUCCCCAUCUGCCUUCCUCUCUGACUCACUCAGUCAUCCAGCAGUGUGUGUUCCUGACACUCUCCUCAUCAAAUACCACGUCCUGUCAGACCUACCUCUAAAUAUCUCUCACAUUUCUCCCAUCCUUUCCGUCCCCAAGUUUGGGCUUUCAUCUCUUUCCUGAAUAUUGCCAGAGUUUCCUACCUGGUCCUAACCAGGGCAGCUUCUGCAGUGGAUGUUUUAUCCAGUUGGCUCUAAGUGUUUCACAGAAACAGAUUAACUAAGAAGUUAUAAUGCCUCUUCCAAGACGUCUAAUUGUGUACAGUAUUUGUCAUUUUGUGAUCUUCACUUUAAGAGAGCCCCCAAACUGUAUAAGCUUCAGAGUCCUUAAAGUCUGGAUCUUCCUCUAGUGACCAAGGGUUAUCAACAUUUUCAGAGCCAAAAAAAAAAAAAAAUUGGUUGAAACAAAAAAACAUAUUGGCUACAAAAUGAAAAAUUGCAAAAUUGACACUGACAAUAAUAAAUAUGUAAUUGUCCAUCAAACAUAAUGUUAUUUGUACAUUUUUUACAUUAGUUAUAAUGUAAAACAUUAAUAGUAAAAUUUUUAAUUUAUAAAAACUGAAUUACAUUUGAAAAUGAUUUGUGGGCUAGAUUUUCUCACUUUGCACAAUUUCCUGAGGGUGUCUGGUGACUGUCAAGAAAUAGUAGCCAAUCAUAAAUUAAACGUUGCUCAUCGACAAAUAAUUUAAAAAGCAAAAAUAUAAAGGUUCCUUUCAAAAGUUUUUACAGGCCAGGCAUGGUGGUUCACGCCUGUAAUCCUAGCACUUUGAGAGGCCAAGACAGGAGGAUCCUUUGAGCUCAGGAGUUGGAGACCAGCCUGGGCAAACAAACACAAACAAACAACAACAACAAAAAACUAAAAAAAAAAGUUUUUACAGAAAAAAAGUAUUUAAUGUUGAACCUCUUCACUUAGUCAUUUUCCUGAUAUCUUAAUAUUGAUCAUUAAGGUUCUGGGUUGAUGUUGAUCACUUUAUAGAGCAAUUGUCGAUUCCCUGUCUCUUUCCCCUACCACAUACACAGCUGAGUCUUGUUAGUUUUGGCAGUUACGUUCUAUAAAGUUGCAGUUGCCAUGAGCACUGAAUUAGCAAGUACUGAGCCAUUCCUUCCAAUGGAAAUACAAGGUUUGGUUCCUGUGAGCCUCUGGUCACAACAUUUUCAUCAACAGAACAAUAUAUAACCUUGUUUUACAUGUGUUUUUCUUUGAAGACAUUGAAUUUAAUAUAUGCUUCUUACAAAUAGUUAAUUAUAUGCAGUAUAUCUUUAUAAUAAGAUAUUAGCUGAGAAGGGUUUACCAUUUUCCUGAAUUUGGAUAACAUGACCAUAAAUUUCUUUGGCUUUUAGCCUUACAACUAUGCUGCCCACUAUGUUUUUUUUUUUUUUUUUUAAUCAGUCAUGAUCUCAUGAAUUCGUAAGUUUAGGCUCUUUUCCAUAGCUUCAUCACACCCUUUAGAUAUUAUUUCAGUACUUUCUGGAGUGGACUCAUAUACAGACUAGCAAAUUUCCUCUUCUUUUUCUGAAUGCACCAAAUUAUUGAUUCAUUAACAUUGAGCUCACAACCAAUAGCAUUGUCACUCAUGUCUGAACAAAGCUAAUUGAACACACUUGUUUUCUCUGCAAGCCACAACCCAGCUUCUUGCACUUAAGAAAGCUAGCUAGCAUUUCAGCACUACAUUUGGAGUCCAUUUUAAAUAGCAAAAUCACCAAAGACAAGCACAAAAAUGUAAAAAACGUGGCACUAAAAAAAGACUGCAGAAAGGACACUUGAAGAGAGUUGAAACAAGAAGGCAGAGUGGGCUGGGCGCCUGUAAUCCCAGCACUUUAGGAGGCCGAGGCAGGCGGAUCACCUGAGGUCAGGAGUUCGAGACCAGCUUGAUCAAUAUGAUGAAACCCAGUCUCCACUAAAAAUACAAGAAAAUUAGCCGGGCGUGGUGGCAUGUGCCUGUAAUCCCAGCUACUCGGGAGGCUGAGACAGGAGAAUCGCUUGAACCCGGGAGGCGGAGGUUGCAGUGAGCUGAGAUCGCGCCAGGGCAACAAGAUCCAGCCUGGGCAACAAGAGCGAAACUCCGUCUCAAUAAAAUAAAAUAAAAUAAAUAAAAUAUAAAAUAAAAUAUAA
RNAcentral lists this long non-coding RNA (6190 nucleotides) under Homo sapiens (human). Its description in RNAcentral is "HSALNT0030004". The record is from RNAcentral. Lineage: Eukaryota; Metazoa; Chordata; Mammalia; Primates; Hominidae.